UGAGGAAUAUUGGUCAAUGGGCGGGAGCCUGAACCAGCCAAGCCGCGUGAGGGAGGAAGGCCCUAUGGGUCGUAAACCUCUUUUGUCAGGGAACAAAAGCGAGUAUGUAUACUAGUCUGAGUGUACCUGAAGAAAAAGCAUCGGCUAACUCCGUGCCAGCAGCCGCGGUAAUACGGAGGAUGCGGGCGUUAUCCGGAUUUAUUGGGUUUAAAGGGUGCGUAGGCGGCGGUGCAAGUCAGCGGUAAAAGCCCGGGGCUCAACCCGGCGAGCCGUUGAAACUGCAGUGCUAGAGAAGGCGAGAGGUACGCGGAAUGCGCAGUGUAGCGGUGAAAUGCUUAGAUAUUGCGCAGAACUCCGAUUGCGAAGGCAGCGUACUGGCGCCUGACUGACGCUGAGGCACGAAAGCGUGGGGAUCGAACAGGAUUAGAUACC
This 432-nucleotide ribosomal RNA is filed under the name uncultured bacterium. RNAcentral's name for it is "bacterial SSU rRNA". It matches the Rfam family "Bacterial small subunit ribosomal RNA", at positions 355 to 786 of the family's 1533-position model. The record is from RNAcentral.